AGCGGCAGGCUUAAUACAUGCAAGUCGAGGGGCAGCAAGGGUAGCAAUACCUGUUGGCGACCGGCAAACGGGUGCGGAACACGUACAGAACCUUCCUUUAAGUGGGGCAUAGCCCGGAGAAAUCCGGAUUAAUACCCCGUAAUAUUUAGGUGUGGCAUCACACUUUAAUUAAAGAUUUAUCGCUUAGAGAUGGCUGUGCGGCUGAUUAGGUAGUUGGUGUAGGUAAAGGCUCACCAAGCCAACGAUCAGUAACUGGUGUGAGAGCACGACCAGUCACACGGGCACUGAGACACGGGCCCGACUCCUACGGGAGGCAGCAG
This 320-nucleotide ribosomal RNA is filed under the name uncultured bacterium US14. Its description in RNAcentral is "bacterial SSU rRNA". It matches the Rfam family "Bacterial small subunit ribosomal RNA", at positions 39 to 354 of the family's 1533-position model. The record is from RNAcentral.